This 458-nucleotide ribosomal RNA is filed under the name uncultured bacterium. RNAcentral's name for it is "bacterial SSU rRNA". It matches the Rfam family "Bacterial small subunit ribosomal RNA", at positions 340 to 786 of the family's 1533-position model. The record is from RNAcentral.
UACGGAAGGCAGCAGUGGGGAAUAUUGCACAAUGGGCGAAAGCCUGAUGCAGCUAUGCCGCGUGUAUGAAGAAGGCCUUAGGGUUGUAAAGUACUUUCAUCGGGGAGGAAAAAACAAAACUAAUAAUUUUAUUUCUUGACGUUACCCGAAAAAGAAGCACCGGCUAACUCCGUGCCAGCAGCCGCGGUAAUACGGAGGGUGCUAGCGUUAAUCAGAAUUACUGGGCGUAAAGAGCACGUAGGUGGUUUUUUUAAAGUCAGAUGUGAAAUCCCUGGGCUUAACCUGGAACUGCAUUUUGAAACUGAAAUACUAGAGUAUCGUAGAGGGAGGUAGAAUUCUAGGUGUAGCGGUGAAAUGCGUAGAUAUCUGGAGGAAUACCUGUGGCGAAAGCGGCCUCCUAAACGAAUACUGACACUGAGGGUGCGAAAGCGUGGGGAGCAAACAGGGACUUAGAUACC